CCUCGUCCAGUCAUUGAACGAUUUACAUUCAUUGAACCCCUGUAGAAACAAAUCAAAUGAUUUAAUGAAUCAUAAUAGAAGUGGUUCCAACUAGUAUACAUGUGAAACGACUUAAAAUUGAUAGAGAAUCAGAUUGAAAAUCGUUGAAUUAUUCAAGGUCGAUAAAUGAACUCAAUUGAGUAGUCAAGGAAUCGAGAAAAGAAAUUAUUGGAAUAAUUCCCGAAUCAAGAUGAGAACUUACAGGAAAAAGGAUUUCGAAUCGAUCGAAGAUUGCAAUAGCUCAAAAAUCAACAAUUCUCGGAAAUCAAAUUAGUUCACAAGAUAGGCGACAAUAAAUAUAUAUUGAAUUUAAACGACGAGUAAUAACAAUAAUAAACCGAACGAUACGAUUGCUCGGCAUAUAUCCAGUUUCCCAGAAAUAAUAGGCAAGGGAUAGGGAUCCUCACCUGAAGUCCAGUGCAAGGUGCUAUAAAUAAAUAUCCUUACGCUCAAGCCAUGCUCAAGCCUUGAGUGAGAGCUUUAGUACGGUCGAUACCUAUAAAAAUAUUCAUCACUUAACAAGAUUCUAAUAUAACCGUAUUAUUCCACUAUAUCACUUAGUCAAUUUCUUGAAACAUUUAUUAAGAAUUUCUUGUCGGGCUAAUUCUAACAAUCACUACGAUCACCAUACUUAUCCGAAUACCCUAAACUAUAUAUCAAAUUAAAGAUAACAACUUCAUCUACAAGUUCACUUUAGAAACCAACCCCAAAUUAUCGACCUAACACAGCAGUAACAGCCCCGGAAGAUAAUUGCAUGAAACUGCUAGGUUUUGUUUGAACAAAUGCAUUUGCUGGCAUUGUUUAUUUGAAAAAUCAUAAAAAUUUGUAGAGUUAUCCAAAUUGUCCAAAUAAUACACCAAAUUGAACCUUACAAUGUAAACUACAAGUUCUCAGAAGACACACAGCCCAAAUUAUUAGCUCAACAUAGCAAAAACGGCCUCGUAAGAAGAAUAUUCAAAACUGCCCUGUUUUUACAGAUUUAAAGUCACUUAAUUCGGACCACUAAUCAGCUUCAAAACAUACUCUAACUCGAUACAAUUUUACACUUACCAAUAUUUUUCGAGGUCCUCUACGAGUUUCGUCAAGGAAUGAUUCCCAAAUUCGCACUCCAAACCCUCCAAAUUCUGCUCCGAAAACAGGUGCGGCAGCAGGGUUUCUUUCCCUAAAGUUCCGGUGCGCAGCUGGGAUUCUCGCCAAAUUCCGGCGACCACCGCCGAUGAAUACCACCGAGAACAAUUACUGAAACAGAAUAUACCGAAAUGGAUAUUCUUUUUUGCUGAUUGAUGGAGGCAAUGUAAUGAUUUAUUCGAUUUUUCUGUGCUUUUUUUUCAGUUUUUGAUCAAGCUUAUAAAAACCGAGCAUCAAAAUAUUCCAACAUUUUACGAUUUCGAGUACAGAGACAUGAAAACUAGUAAAGCACAUGCUCAUGAAAAUGGCAGCUAACCUUAAUAGCCGAUGCUUGAUCCAUCGUCAAUUCAUCACAGUUUAAGCUCCUGCAAAUUAGUUAAACCAGACAUGAGAUUAAUCCAUGCAAGAAAAAACCGAAAUGACUUGUUAAAGAAACGACUUUUCGAACCAAUUGAAAAAAUGUUUUUGCACUCCAAAGUUGGAGUCUGGUUCCAGUAUUUUAUCAAAC
This 1675-nucleotide long non-coding RNA is filed under the name Erythranthe guttata (spotted monkey flower). Its description in RNAcentral is "long non-coding RNA (EGUT_LNC003461)". Lineage: Eukaryota; Viridiplantae; Streptophyta; Magnoliopsida; Lamiales; Phrymaceae. The record is from RNAcentral.